RNAcentral lists this ribosomal RNA (50 nucleotides) under Fucus vesiculosus. RNAcentral describes it as "partial 23S ribosomal RNA". RNAcentral also lists the same sequence under 2 other names. The record is from RNAcentral. Lineage: Eukaryota; Phaeophyceae; Fucales; Fucaceae.
UUUUAUAAUGUCUAGUAUGGAGUGGAUGCCUUGGAAGAAAAAUAUAGGCG